This is a long non-coding RNA of Malaclemys terrapin pileata, 237 nucleotides long. RefSeq lists it as uncharacterized. The transcript has 3 exons. NCBI's taxonomy places the organism in Eukaryota, Metazoa, Chordata, Testudines, Emydidae. The record is from RefSeq and is a predicted model, not a curated record.
GAGACAUCCUCAACUUCCUCUAGCUGCAGCCACUAGCUGAGUUUCUUAUGUGGGGCUCAGUGGAGCUGGUCACCGGGGUGUUGGUGGCAGCGCUGAGGGGCCCCUCACUGCCCCAUCAUGGCACCUGCUCUCACCGUCCUCUUCCUCAGCUGCUGCUGGCUGGCUGGGCGGAGUGAGGUCUCGGGAGAGGGAACCGACCCAGCUGGGUCCCGGCAGCCGGAUCCCCCCACGAUGGAG